RNAcentral lists this ribosomal RNA (497 nucleotides) under uncultured bacterium. RNAcentral's name for it is "partial 16S ribosomal RNA". It matches the Rfam family "Bacterial small subunit ribosomal RNA", at positions 28 to 507 of the family's 1533-position model. The record is from RNAcentral.
GACGAACGCUGGCGGCGUGCCUAAUACAUGCAAGUUGAGCGCUGAAGGUUGGUCCUUGUACCAACUGGAUGAGCAGCGAACGGGUGAGUAACGCGUGGGGAAUCUGCCUUUGAGCGGGGGACAACAUUUGGAAACGAAUGCUAAUACCGCAUAAAAACUUUAAACACAAGUUUUAAGUUUGAAAGAUGCAAUUGAAUCACUCAAAGAUGAUCCCGCGUUGUAUUAGCUAGUUGGUGAGGUAAAGGCUCACCAAGGCGAUGAUACAUAGCCGACCUGAGAGGGUGAUCGGCCACAUUGGGACUGAGACACGGCCCAAACUCCUACGGGAGGCAGCAGUAGGGAAUCUUCGGCAAUGGACGAAAGUCUGACCGAGCAACGCCGCGUGAGUGAAGAAGGUUUUCGGAUCGUAAAACUCUGUUGGUAGAGAAGAACGUUGGUGAGAGUGGAAAGCUCAUCAAGUGACGGUAACUACCCAGAAAGGGACGGCUAACUACGUG